Molecule: ribosomal RNA, 456 nt
Filed under: uncultured bacterium
Lineage: Bacteria
Description: bacterial SSU rRNA
Rfam family: Bacterial small subunit ribosomal RNA
Source: RNAcentral
UACGGGAGGCAGCAGUGGGGGAAUAUUGCACAAUGGGCGAAAGCCUGAUGCAGCUAUGCCGCGUGUAUGAAGAAGGCCUUAGGGGUUGUAAAGUACUUUCAUCGGGGAGGAAAAAACAAAACUAAUAAUUUUAUUUCUUGACGUUACCCGAAAAAGAAGCACCGGCUAACUCCGUGCCAGCAGCCGCGGUAAUACGGAGGGUGCUAGCGUUAAUCGGAAUUACUGGGCGUAAAGGGCACGCAGGCGGUUAAUUAAGUUGGAUGUGAAAUCCCCGGGCUUAACCUGGGAAUGGCAUUUCAAGACUGGUUAGCUAGAGUCUUGUAGAGGGGGGUUAGAAUUCCAUGUGUAGCGGUGAAAUGCGUAGAGAUGUGGAGGAAUACCGGUGGCGAGGCGGCCCCUGGACAAAGACUGACGCUCAUGUGCGAAAGCGUGGGGAGCAAACAGGGAUUAGAUACC